GACGAACGCUGGCGGCGUGCUUAACACAUGCAAGUCGAGCGGAAAGGCCACUUCGGUGGUACUCGAGCGGCGAACGGGUGAGUAACACGUGAGUAAUCUGCCCUUCACUCUGGGAUAGCCACCGGAAACGGUGAUUAAUACCGGAUACGACCACUCCACGCAUGUGGUGGUGGUGGAAACUUUUUGGGUGGGGGAUGUGCUCGCGGCCUAUCAGCUUGUUGGUGGGGUAAUGGCCUACCAAGGCUUCGACGGGUAGCAGCCUGAGAGGGUGACCGGCCACACUGGGACUGAGACACGGCCCAGACUCCUACGGGAGGCAGCAGUGGGGAAUAUUGGACAAUGGGCGGAAGCCUGAUCCAGCAACGCCGCGUGAGGGAUGACGGCCUUCGGGUUGUAAACCUCUUUCAGCACCGACGAAGCGCAAGUGACGGUAGGUGCAGAAGAAGGACCGGCCAACUACGUGCCAGCAGCCGCCGUAA
Molecule: ribosomal RNA, 479 nt
Filed under: uncultured bacterium
Lineage: Bacteria
Description: partial 16S ribosomal RNA
Rfam family: Bacterial small subunit ribosomal RNA
Source: RNAcentral